This 642-nucleotide ribosomal RNA is filed under the name Tausonia pullulans. Its description in RNAcentral is "eukaryotic LSU rRNA". It matches the Rfam family "Eukaryotic large subunit ribosomal RNA", at positions 37 to 664 of the family's 3401-position model. The record is from RNAcentral. Lineage: Eukaryota; Fungi; Basidiomycota; Tremellomycetes; Cystofilobasidiales; Mrakiaceae.
UGCAUAUCAAAAGCGGAGGAAAAGAAACUAACAAGGAUUCCCCUAGUAACGGCGAGUGAAGCGGGAUGAGCUCAAAUUUAAAAUCUGGCGGUCUCAGAUCGUCCGAGUUGUAGUCUAGAGAAGCGUUUUCCGUGCUGGCCUGUGUACAAGUCCGUUGGAACACGGCGUCAUAGAGGGUGAGAAUCCCGUCCUUGACACAGAUCUCCAGUGCUUUGUGAUGCGCUCUCAAAGAGUCGAGUUGUUUGGGAAUGCAGCUCAAAAUGGGUGGUAAAUUCCAUCUAAAGCUAAAUAUUGGCGAGAAACCGAUAGCGAACAAGUACCGUGAGGGAAAGAUGAAAAGCACUUUGGAAAGAGAGUUAAACAGUACGUGAAAUUGUUGAAAGGGAAACGAUUGAAGUCAGUCAUGCUUUCCGAGACUCAGCCGGUUCUGCCGGUGUACUUCUCGGUUUGCAGGCCAGCAUCAGUUUUGGGCGGUGGAAAAGGUUGGCGGGAAUGUGGCAUCCUCGGAUGUGUUAUAGCCCGCUUUCGAAUACAUCGCCCGGGACUGAGGAACGCAGCACGCCUCUUGUAGGUCGGUCUUCGGACACGUCCGUGCUUAGGAUGCUGGCAUAAUGGCUUUAAACGACCCGUCUUGAAACACGG